UACUGUACACGUAUUAGUGUGACGUGGCAUCCGGCGUUGUUGCGGUAGGUCAGUUUUUUUUAAAUCAAGACAUUGUACUUUUUACAUAGGCAUUUUUGGAUUUUCUUGUUUUGUAUGCCUCCAACGUGUUUGAUCUUCGUGUAAAGACAAUUUGUUGGUCUGGUAUAUACUUUGUACCAUCUCAAAUAGUUUAGGCAGUAUCUUUAGCGUAGCUUCUCGGGAACAUAUCGAUUCAACUUUAUCAUUUUUAGGUUAAAGUUCAGCAAUUCCAUCGCAAUAGAAAGAAAAUUGGGCUACAGAUUUUUAAUUUUGCUCCUAAACGUAACAACAAUACAAUAUUAGGGUAUUAUGUGAAUAUAUUUACAAAAACAACACGUUUCAGAGUAUUAAAACCGUGAAGUGCUGGGCUCCAGACCGCAAGCAUUAUAAGUUUAUUAAUUUAACAAUUUUUUUCCUCGCUGGGUUUAGAACAUGGGUUAUUCCAUUGGCUCUCAAUGUCCGUCGCACCAGGAGCGGGUCCAGCUUGCUUUCGAGUCAGGGGGGUCAAGCAGUAGAAAUUCAAUCUUUUGUUGUCCAUGCAAUUAGAAAAAUUUGACGCCGGGAUCCGCUCUUGCGUCGCACUAACAUUGUAAUGUGCGUGAUAUAAAGGUGCUGUCAUAUGCGAGUAGCGCCUUAUAUAAGCCUUAUUCUAUGAGUAGCGCAAAGUUUUCCUGGGGUAAGUACAUGCGGAAUUGCUCUUCCUAGUUCCUUGAUGCGGCUGGCAAUUCCCAUCAAUGAAAACUUUUUCACAUGCCCACGGUGUAAGAGUUUUCUCCUCGAGCUAAUUGUUUGGCGUUAAGUUAAAAAAAAAUUGCCAUAAAACUGAACUUUAUGAUAUGCUUUUCUGCCACUGGUUGAAAAAAAAGAUUCUAUUUGAAUAUACAUCGAUAUACAUAUUUAUACUUUUUGUUUGUGUAUUUCUUAAACAAGUUCCCGAAUAUGUCGAUUAUAUUCACUUUUCGGAACAUUUUCUGGCGUAAAAUCGCAAGAAGAUACUAGUUCUAGUACUCCAAAUAAAUUACCUGAUAAGGUUCGUAAACCAAAAAAUCUCUCUUUAGAGACUAAAAUUGCUUAAAUAAAAAUAAAAAAGGUUCGUAAACAAUUUGCGCACCAGUCCAAAGUUUUGUAACACCGCAAUAUUCUAUCUUCUGUGGUUUUGGUAGCUAUUAAGUUUUGGAUUUAAAGCCGCCAGUUGAAGCGGUAACAAGACUGAAACCAUUAAUGAGUAUGCUAUUUUACUCAAUUGAUAACACUAAGAUAUAUUGCUUGUCAAAAGGGAAAGUAAAGGCAACUAAAAACAGACAGAAAGUUGAAAGGAAUCUAAAAUCCACUCAUCAAGCUCGAGCUGAAGCUUCGGCCGCUGUACGGAUAGAAGACAGGCCAGGAAAAGGAAUGAGUAAUGGCUGAAGAUCCGGAAAAGCAGAGGCGUUGGGAAUGAGAAACGCCAAGCCAAAAAGAGAGCGUCUCGAAUGAAGCAGCUGAAGGUAAAAGCAACCUAGUUCGUUUUAGUUAAUAAAACUGGGUACAUACUUGGUUGAAGAUUCAGUUGUUAAGCGGGUAAAAUCAUCCAAUUACCUUAGUAUUGUAAGAUAAUUCGUACUUUUCAUGCAAUAAGAUUGAUAUUUUAAAUAUGUACGCCAAUAUUUGUAACGAGUCUUGUUAAAUACCUUAAUUGCCCUCACCAUUUUUCAUACUUCUCUACCAGGGAGCGAUUAAUCGCUAAGAGUCGAAAUGUAAAAAUUCUAUCUAAAAUAUUUUUGGAUAGAAUUCAAGAGACGAGAUAGAAGAUAUCUAAAAUCAAGACUACUUUUAUCGCAGCUAUGUACUACUAUUGAAAAAAUUUUUUUCGAAAUGCUUUAGCUUAGCUUGGGUCACGCAGGGAGCAAGGAAGAAACCUAUUUUUUGUUUAGUCAUUUAUUUGAAAGAUCCCAGUUGAAAGAAUCUUAAUUACUUAGCGGCUGCUA
This is a long non-coding RNA of Dendroctonus ponderosae (mountain pine beetle), 2003 nucleotides long. RefSeq lists it as uncharacterized. The transcript has 2 exons. NCBI's taxonomy places the organism in Eukaryota, Metazoa, Arthropoda, Insecta, Coleoptera, Curculionidae. The record is from RefSeq and is a predicted model, not a curated record.